CCUUCCUCCUCGUAGCGAGCUCGAGGCGAGGGAGAUGUCCCUGGCGGCGUCGAAGCAGCAGGCGAACCUGCUAAAGCAAGAGGGCAACACUUUCUUCAAGGAGGAACGCAUCAACGCCGCCAUCGACGCCUACACCGGGUUGCCAUGGACAUUUGAAAGACAAGGUACCAAGUUGGAAUGGCGUUGGAAGCUGCAGCCUUCACCUAAUACACAGUAGACUAAAUCUGAGAUCCUGGGUUUUCUUAUGGUUGCAAAAAUACGCUUGAGUUUUGUGGCUGUCUUAAACUCAAAGAAGGCUAAGCUCAGACAGCUUAGAGACAAAGCUGCUGAAUUCGAAUCUGCUGACAAGCCUCCAAAGGAGGAAGAGGAGAACUGAACGGACAGAACAGAGCUCUUCGAGGGAGGAGGCGACAAAGAGGCAAGCGUCAACGAUGAGCCAUCAGAGACAGGCAGCGACCAUCUUCAUUCUUCAUAGCUCUUCUAAGAAAUCCGCAGCCACCACCAGAGGGAGGAGAGGUCACAAGAGGACAAGAAAAUAGGCUGAAGAAUGCAAGCUCACUGCUGGACUGAACAUAACAGGACCUACGUGGAAAAUGUUGAUCCUUGUGAAGUCCAUCUGCAGCUGACCCAUGAUCUAUCAUGCCAGUGUGAUCCUGACACGUGGGCUUUAUAUUAAAAAAAAAGAAAAAUAACAGUGUGGUACUACACUAAAACCUAUAGUAGUUUCUAAAUGGUUUUGCAAAAUGCCUUUAGUUCUGCAAUAUUUACCCACAGAAAAAAAAUCAAAUUUAGUUUAAGUAACACACUGCAUGAAGAUU
Long non-coding RNA from Phragmites australis (common reed), 818 nucleotides. RefSeq lists it as uncharacterized. The record is from RefSeq and is a predicted model, not a curated record. Lineage: Eukaryota; Viridiplantae; Streptophyta; Magnoliopsida; Poales; Poaceae. The transcript is spliced from 3 exons.